GACAUCUGGUCAAAUUGCGCGUAAAUUACACAUUUAUAUUCCAAGACAGUUUAUAUGUCAGUAGUACAUACUCUUUUAUUAUACGGAGUAACCAUUCAAAUGUUCACUGUGUUUAAUAAUUUAAUCCCGUGUUUUUUUUAUAUUUUUAUUCGCGAUACAUUUAAAAAAACGACGUUGCAUUGCGUCAAAAAUUAGAUAUCGCUAUUACGUGGGAAGUGCAAAUCACUUUAAGCUUGAAAUAUUGGCUUCGAAUGUGUGUCUUAAAUUUGGAAAUGUUUCAUUUACACAUGUAAUUUUGAUUUCCACAUAAGACGUAUCUAUAUUUGAGAUUAAUUUUUACGUUGCUCGUGGCGAUAAUAAACCCUAAUUUAUGUAAAUUUCUUUCUACGCCUCGACGAUUCUCAGAAAACAAGAGGAGAGAAAAUUGUAACUUACGGAACAGGAUAAUCGACAUGACGUUGCGAAAAUUGUUAUACACGUGGUUACAGGUUCUAGGUAUACGAUUGUGCGGCUGCAUCCAAAGACGCCUUACGAGGCGCCACAUUGACAAUACGGAGCUGCGUCGGAAUAAACGAGUUUUUCAAGUUAUAGAAAGAUGACUAAAAGCAUUCGGCCGCACAAUAUUACAGAAUUUCAUAGUUUAAGGUUAUAAGAGUAAUUGAAACAUGGUGCUGAAAAAUUUCCAGUUACAUCCUAGUAUUUAAAAUUAGAAAUUUAUUUUAUUUUUUAUAAAUCUCUUGAACCUAUAUUUUGAUUGCUAUUUUUAUACGUUAGAGUUUCUCAAGUAUGUUCCACUAUUUAAAAUUAGAAAUCUAAUUAAUUCUUUCGUUUAUAAAUGAAUUUUUCGAUCUUAUACCUCGAUUGCUCUCUUUAUAUGUUACAUAAUAAUUCAUAUUCACAGUGAAUAUUACGUUUUUUAUUCAUCUGUCGAAUAGGGAAAUGAUUAAAAUAAAUAAAAUCACAGAAUUCCUUUUGAGAAUGUAAUUGGAAUUUUUGUGUUGAUAGGUUCGAGUCACGGCAAUUAUGUGAGAAUAUUCUGGUUUCAUUCAUAUAGUGUAUGAUAAUCGGUAUCAAUAGCAGAUCCUGCAAUGUUGAAUAUAACGUUAUAGCUUAAGUGUUAUUACAUGAUAAAGUGACACCAUGCGAUAAGAGAACAAAAUAAAUAUGACACGACAAUUUGUUGUCACUUAUGCACGAAACUAGUUGCGGUUACGAUGCAGUCAUCGCUAUUUCGUCGAAUAGAAAUUGCACACUUGUGUAAAUAGACGAAAUAAAAGAAAUAUUAUGUAAUUACCGUGCACUUAAACUCGAUAGUGCAUUUCCAGAUCACCUAUCGCGGUAUUUUCCUCCCUAACAGUUUGUUCCCCGUUUUUAUAAUAUUUCAACAAAUGUACUGACAACGAAUGACGUAAAAUCAGAUAAGAGAACUAUGAUAUUAAUUGUACCGACAGUCCUAGCUAUUCACAUUGAAAUUAAUUAAUCUUUAAUCUAUCCUUGUUAAGGCGACAAUUACGGGAACGAGUGUUACAUGGAAAAUUAGGUCGUUCAACUUUCAGAGUUAACCUUUCGUUCAUUGUGGUCAAUUUUACAGCUAAUGU
This 1598-nucleotide unclassified non-coding RNA is filed under the name Bombus terrestris (buff-tailed bumblebee). RNAcentral describes it as "misc RNA ENSBTSG00005026757.1". The record is from RNAcentral. Lineage: Eukaryota; Metazoa; Arthropoda; Insecta; Hymenoptera; Apidae.